This 507-nucleotide ribosomal RNA is filed under the name Anisakis typica. Its description in RNAcentral is "eukaryotic LSU rRNA". The stretch from base 1 to 126 matches the Rfam family "5.8S ribosomal RNA", at positions 29 to 154 of the family's 154-position model. Lineage: Eukaryota; Metazoa; Nematoda; Chromadorea; Rhabditida; Anisakidae. The record is from RNAcentral.
UGGAUCGAUGAAGAACGCAGCCAGCUGCGAUAAAUAGUGCGAAUUGCAGACACAUUGAGCACUAAGAAUUCGAACGCACAUUGCGCUAUCGGGUUCAUUCCCGAUGGCACGUCUGGCUGAGGGUCGAAUUGUGCUAGAGCAUCUUUGCAAUCACUUCUCUCAGAUUGUGAUUGUGAAGCAUUCGGCGAGCGAUUGUUGUCGUGUUGUUGCUUAAGGUGACGAUUGAAUCGGCACCGCGCGACACGACACGGUUCCUUGCUUAGUUUGAUGAACAAAAAGACGUCCCGCACACCCAACGUCUGCUAAACACUAGACUAGAGCUGGUGUCUAGAGGUGUUGGGUGUGAUUUUGAUGGUCACAAAAGUGCCGCCAUUUCAUAGUGGCAACAACCAGCAUACGUCUAUGAUACUAGUAGGUUGGCUGGUUGAUGAAACGGCAACGGAAUGUGCGCAUGCAUGUGAUCGAGAAGCGAUAAUGUUCGUAUUUGACCUCAGCUCAGUCGUGAUU